Molecule: ribosomal RNA, 254 nt
Filed under: uncultured bacterium
Lineage: Bacteria
Description: partial 16S ribosomal RNA
Rfam family: Bacterial small subunit ribosomal RNA
Source: RNAcentral
UACGGUGGGAGCAAGCGUUGUUCGGAUUUACUGGGCGUAAAGGGCGCGUAGGCGGCCACCGCAAGUCAGUUGUGAAAUCUCUGGGCUUAACCCAGAACGGUCAGCUGAUACUGCGGGGCUAGAGUGCAGAAGGGGCAACUGGAAUUCUCGGUGUAGCGGUGAAAUGCGUAGAUAUCGAGAGGAACACCUGCGGCGAAGGCGGGUUGCUGGGCUGACACUGACGCUGAGGCGCGAAAGCUAGGGGAGCGAACGGG